AGUGAACGCUGGCGGUAGGCCUAACACAUGCAAGUCGAACGGCAGCACAGUAAGAGCUUGCUCUUACGGGUGGCGAGUGGCGGACGGGUGAGGAAUACAUCGGAAUCUACUUUUUCGUGGGGGAUAACGUAGGGAAACUUACGCUAAUACCGCAUACGACCUACGGGUGAAAGCAGGGGAUCUUCGGACCUUGCGCGAUUGAAUGAGCCGAUGUCGGAUUAGCUAGUUGGCGGGGUAAAGGCCCACCAAGGCGACGAUACGCAGCUGGUCUGAGAGGAUGGUCGGCGGCACUGGAGCUUGACCGCGGUCCUGACUCCUACGGGAGGCAGCAGUGGGGUAUGUUAGACAGUGGGCGCGAGCCUUGUCCAGCCAUCCCGCGUGGGUUGAGAAGGCCUUCGGGUUGUAAAGCCGUUUUGUUGGGAGAGAAAAGCAGCAGGUUAAGACCCCGCUGUUCUGACGGUACCCAAAGAAUAAGCACCGGCUAACUUCGUG
Molecule: ribosomal RNA, 492 nt
Filed under: uncultured bacterium
Lineage: Bacteria
Description: partial 16S ribosomal RNA
Rfam family: Bacterial small subunit ribosomal RNA
Source: RNAcentral